RNAcentral lists this ribosomal RNA (553 nucleotides) under Clostridioides difficile. RNAcentral describes it as "bacterial SSU rRNA". It matches the Rfam family "Bacterial small subunit ribosomal RNA", at positions 245 to 816 of the family's 1533-position model. The record is from RNAcentral. Lineage: Bacteria; Bacillati; Bacillota; Clostridia; Peptostreptococcales; Peptostreptococcaceae.
CUAGUUGGUAAGGUAACGGCUUACCAAGGCGACGAUCAGUAGCCGACCUGAGAGGGUGAUCGGCCACAUUGGAACUGAGACACGGUCCAAACUCCUACGGGAGGCAGCAGUGGGGAAUAUUGCACAAUGGGCGAAAGCCUGAUGCAGCAACGCCGCGUGAGUGAUGAAGGCCUUCGGGUCGUAAAACUCUGUCCUCAAGGAAGAUAAUGACGGUACUUGAGGAGGAAGCCCCGGCUAACUACGUGCCAGCAGCCGCGGUAAUACGUAGGGGGCUAGCGUUAUCCGGAUUUACUGGGCGUAAAGGGUGCGUAGGCGGUCUUUCAAGUCAGGAGUGAAAGGCUACGGCUCAACCGUAGUAAGCUCUUGAAACUGGGAGACUUGAGUGCAGGAGAGGAGAGUGGAAUUCCUAGUGUAGCGGUGAAAUGCGUAGAUAUUAGGAGGAACACCAGUUGCGAAGGCGGCUCUCUGGACUGUAACUGACGCUGAGGCACGAAAGCGUGGGGAGCAAACAGGAUUAGAUACCCUGGUAGUCCACGCUGUAAACGAUGAGUAC